RNAcentral lists this ribosomal RNA (520 nucleotides) under uncultured bacterium. RNAcentral describes it as "bacterial SSU rRNA". It matches the Rfam family "Bacterial small subunit ribosomal RNA", at positions 120 to 674 of the family's 1533-position model. The record is from RNAcentral.
GGGAAUCUGCCCUUAGGUUCGGAAUAACAGUUAGAAAUGACUGCUAAUACCGGAUGAUGACGUAAGUCCAAAGAUUUAUCGCCUAGGGAUGAGCCCGCGUAGGAUUAGCUAGUUGGUGUGGUAAAGGCGCACCAAGGCGACGAUCCUUAGCUGGUCUGAGAGGAUGAUCAGCCACACUGGGACUGAGACACGGCCCAGACUCCUACGGGAGGCAGCAGUGGGGAAUAUUGGACAAUGGGCGCAAGCCUGAUCCAGCAAUGCCGCGUGAGUGAUGAAGGCCUUAGGGUUGUAAAGCUCUUUUACCCGGGAUGAUAAUGACAGUACCGGGAGAAUAAGCCCCGGCUAACUCCGUGCCAGCAGCCGCGGUAAUACGGAGGGGGCUAGCGUUGUUCGGAAUUACUGGGCGUAAAGCGCACGUAGGCGGCUUUGUAAGUUAGAGGUGAAAGCCUGGAGCUCAACUCCAGAACUGCCUUUAAGACUGCAUCGCUUGAAUCCAGGAGAGGUGAGUGGAGUUCCGAGU